CUUCAUCACCAACCAGACUUAUGUUACAUUUCAUGGGAGGCCUGACCUUGCAUCCCACCCCCUCAAUUUCUGUCUUCUUCCAAUCCUCUAACAAAUGUAACAUCGUUUUUACAAAUAAUUCUAUACCCAUUCCCAUCUUCCGGAGUAGGAAGGAGGGCAUCUUCAACACUAGGAAGCUUCACAUCUUCAGAGGUAGGAACCUUGUGAGGUUGUUGGUCCACUUGCC
Molecule: long non-coding RNA, 226 nt
Filed under: Prunus persica (peach)
Lineage: Eukaryota; Viridiplantae; Streptophyta; Magnoliopsida; Rosales; Rosaceae
Description: long non-coding RNA (PPER_LNC000903)
Source: RNAcentral